This is a small nucleolar RNA of Apodemus sylvaticus (European woodmouse), 131 nucleotides long. RefSeq annotates it as small nucleolar RNA SNORA17. Lineage: Eukaryota; Metazoa; Chordata; Mammalia; Rodentia; Muridae. The record is from RefSeq and is a predicted model, not a curated record. The transcript has a single exon.
AAUAACUCUAGAAGCAUUGCAAGAGUAGUUAUUGUGUCACAUUGGCAACAAUAGGUGGCAGAGAGGAAGGUAGCUAGACUAAGCCCAGUGUUCUGACCUGUGAAUACCUAAAUGAGUAGUAGCCUAACCGU